Molecule: ribosomal RNA, 253 nt
Filed under: uncultured bacterium
Lineage: Bacteria
Description: partial 16S ribosomal RNA
Rfam family: Bacterial small subunit ribosomal RNA
Source: RNAcentral
GACGAACCGUGCAAACGUUGUUCGGAAUCACUGGGCUUAAAGGGCGCGUAGGCGGGCCAGCCAGUCUGUGGUGAAAGCCUCCAGCUUAACUGGAGAAGUGCCGUGGAUACUGCUGGCCUCGAGGAGGAUAGGGGCAUCUGGAACGGUCGGUGGAGCGGUGAAAUGCGUUGAUAUCGACCGGAACUCCGGUGGCGAAGGCGAGGUGCUGGGUCCUUUCUGACGCUGAGGUGCGAAAGCUAGGGGAGCGAACAGG